GAAGACUUUGCCAGUAAAUGUUGUAUCAAAUUCCAGGUUUGCCUCUUCUGCCAUGCCCACUCCCUUGUGGCUACAGUGGCCCUGUAAUUGGACCUGACUUGGACCUGACUUCAGGAGCUCCUGAAAUAUCACUGGCAGGUGCCACAAGAGGAGCUUCUGUGGUCAUCUCCUAUCACAUAUGGAGCCAGGAUACAUAGCAUUGUCUCACUCCAGCUCACUGUUUCACUUGGAAUGGUAGGACCUGGGAUUUCCUGGACCACCACAAUGGGAAUGUAACUCUACAUCCUGAGGUGGGAAUCAUUUUCUGGGAGGUAUGCAUAGAUUCCUGCCUCUUCUAUAUUAACAUUUAAAUAUUUUUAUGUGCAUAGAGAAAAUUGUAAUAAAAUAAGGUCCCCCUUGCCA
RNAcentral lists this long non-coding RNA (402 nucleotides) under Cyanistes caeruleus (blue tit). Its description in RNAcentral is "lncRNA (ENSCCEG00000002351.1)". Lineage: Eukaryota; Metazoa; Chordata; Aves; Passeriformes; Paridae. The record is from RNAcentral.